UAAGAUGCUAGGUAAAAAUGCUAAUUAG
RNAcentral lists this non-coding RNA (28 nucleotides) under Mus musculus (house mouse). The record is from RNAcentral. Lineage: Eukaryota; Metazoa; Chordata; Mammalia; Rodentia; Muridae.